AUAACGACUCUCGGCAACGGAUAUCUCGGCUCUCGCAUCGAUGAAGAACGUAGCGAACUGCGAUACUUGGUGUGAAUGUUGCGCCCGAAGCCUUAGGGUCGAGGGCACGUUUGCCUGGGUGUCACA
This 126-nucleotide ribosomal RNA is filed under the name Eucalyptus apothalassica. RNAcentral describes it as "5.8S ribosomal RNA". It matches the Rfam family "5.8S ribosomal RNA". From Rfam's summary of the family: 5.8S ribosomal RNA (5.8S rRNA) is a component of the large subunit of the eukaryotic ribosome. The record is from RNAcentral. Lineage: Eukaryota; Viridiplantae; Streptophyta; Magnoliopsida; Myrtales; Myrtaceae.